AACGAACGCUGGCGGCAGGCCUAACACAUGCAAGUCGAGCGAGCAUUUCGGUGCUAGCGGCGGACGGGUGAGUAACGCGUCAGAACCUGCCCUUGGGAGGGGAACAACAACUGGAAACGGUUGCUAAUACCCCGUAGGCUGAGGAGCAAAAGGAGAAAUCCGCCCAAGGAGGGGCUCGCGUCUGAUUAGCUAGUUGGUGAGGCAAUAGCUUACCAAGGCGAUGAUCAGUAGCUGGUCCGAGAGGAUGAUCAGCCACACUGGGACUGAGACACGGCCCAGACUCCUACGGGAGGCAGCAGUGGGGAAUUUUCCGCAAUGGGCGAAAGCCUGACGGAGCAAUGCCGCGUGGAGGUGGAAGGCCUACGGGUCGUCAACUUCUUUUCUCGGAGAAGAAACAAUGACGGUAUCUGAGGAAUAAGCAUCGGCUAACUCUGUG
Molecule: ribosomal RNA, 436 nt
Filed under: uncultured bacterium
Lineage: Bacteria
Description: partial 16S ribosomal RNA
Rfam family: Bacterial small subunit ribosomal RNA
Source: RNAcentral